GAUGAACGCUGGCGGCGUGCCUAAUACAUGCAAGUCGAGCGAACAGACGAGGAGCUUGCUCCUCUGACGUUAGCGGCGGACGGGUGAGUAACACGUGGAUAACCUACCUAUAAGACUGGGAUAACUUCGGGAAACCGGAGCUAAUACCGGAUAAUAUAUUGAACCGCAUGGUUCAAUAGUGAAAGACGGUUUUGCUGUCACUUAUAGCUGGAUCCGCGCCGCAUUAGCUAGUUGUUAAGGUAACGGCUUAGCAAGGCAACGAUGCGUAGCCGACCUGAGAGGGGGGUAGGCGACAUUAGAGGUGAGACACGGACCAGACGACUAAGGGACGCACCAGUAGGGAAUCUGACGCAAUAGGGGGAAGCCUGACGGAGCAGGGGCGAGUGAGUGAUGAAGGUCUCCGGAUCGUAAAACUCUGUUAUUAGGGAAGAACAAAUGUGUACGUAGAUAUGGACGUCUUGACGGUACCUGAUCAGAAAGCAACGGCUAACUACGUG
Molecule: ribosomal RNA, 497 nt
Filed under: uncultured bacterium
Lineage: Bacteria
Description: partial 16S ribosomal RNA
Rfam family: Bacterial small subunit ribosomal RNA
Source: RNAcentral